This 659-nucleotide unclassified non-coding RNA is filed under the name Hevea brasiliensis (rubber tree). Lineage: Eukaryota; Viridiplantae; Streptophyta; Magnoliopsida; Malpighiales; Euphorbiaceae. The record is from RNAcentral.
GGAAGCUGCACCUGUUCUUGAUGACGAUUCCUUGAAUGAUCUUAUAGCACGAAGUGAGCCAGAGAUUGAUAUAUUUGAGUCAGUUGACAGGAGAAGGCGUGAAGAAGAGAUGGAAAUCUGGAAGAAGUUAUGCUUAGAAAGUGGAACACAAAGUUCAGAACUCAUUCCUCCUUUGCCCUCUCGACUUCUUACUGAUGAUGACUUGAAACCAUUCUAUGAAGCAAUGAAAAUAUCUGAUAAGCCAGUUGUGGCUCCUAGCCCUGGGUUAAAAAGGAAGGGUCAGAGUCUUGGGGGUCUUGAUAUCCAACACUAUGGACGUGGGAAAAGAGCAAGAGAGGUUCGUUCAUAUGAAGAGCAAUGGACUGAAGAGGAAUUUGAGAAAAUGUGCCUUGCUGAGUCUCCUCAAUCACCUAGUCUAAAGGAAGAAAUUCAAGAAAAGAAUUCCCCUUCAGUCUCUGGCAACUGUCCUGACCCUGUUGUUGCCAAUAGUGAAUUACAAACCCGAGCACAGUAUCAGCCUCCUCUCCAGCACCCUGUGCAAGAACUUCCCCAACAACAUAUAGGACCCAUAAUUCAACAAAGCCCCGUGACUGUGACUCCGCCAUCUAAACGGGGCCGGGGAAGACCAAGGAGGACAGCAAUAGUUGCUGAAAUUUCAC